This 610-nucleotide ribosomal RNA is filed under the name Candida tropicalis. RNAcentral's name for it is "eukaryotic LSU rRNA". It matches the Rfam family "Eukaryotic large subunit ribosomal RNA", at positions 39 to 667 of the family's 3401-position model. The record is from RNAcentral. Lineage: Eukaryota; Fungi; Ascomycota; Pichiomycetes; Serinales; Debaryomycetaceae.
CAUAUCAAUAAGCGGAGGAAAAGAAACCAACAGGGAUUGCCUUAGUAGCGGCGAGUGAAGCGGCAAAAGCUCAAAUUUGAAAUCUGGCACUUUCAGAGUCCGAGUUGUAAUUUGAAGAAGGUAUCUUUGGGUCUGGCUCUUGUCUAUGUUUCUUGGAACAGAACGUCACAGAGGGUGAGAAUCCCUGCGAUGAGAUGAUCCAGGCCUAUGUAAAGUUCCUUCGAAGAGUCGAGUUGUUUGGGAAUGCAGCUCUAAGUGGUGGUAAAUUCCAUCUAAAGCUAAAUAUUGGCGAGAGACCGAUAGCGAACAAGUACAGUGAUGGAAAGAUGAAAAGAACUUUGAAAAGAGAGUGAAAAAGUACGUGAAAUUGUUGAAAGGGAAGGGCUUGAGAUCAGACUUGGUAUUUUGUAUGUUACUUCUUCGGGGGUGGCCUCUACAGUUUAUCGGGCCAGCAUCAGUUUGGGCGGUAGGAGAAUUGCGUUGGAAUGUGGCACGGCUUCGGUUGUGUGUUAUAGCCUUCGUCGAUACUGCCAGCCUAGACUGAGGACUGCGGUUUAUACCUAGGAUGUUGGCAUAAUGAUCUUAAGUCGCCCGUCUUGAAACACGGACC